UCUCUCCAAACCUAAAACUCUAAGUAUUCUGCUGUAUGAAAGUAAGAAAACGUGUGUUGCCUAGAACAAUGGCAGUGCAUAUGAAUAUUAGGUUAAAACUCGUCAGGGAUAAACUGAAAAUUCUUGUGGGACUUAGCCUUAAAGCCGGCUGGAACCAUUCUGACCAUCGAUUCUUUCUUUUUGACCGAAGGAGGUGAUAUCAAGGUGGUUCGAUAAGAAUCAAUGUUAUAAUUAGAAAUCUGAAACAAAAUUUAUGGAGAGGAAAGACAAAAAGAAAAAGUUUGGAACGUGACAAAGCAAAAUAAAAGUUAUAAAGCCUGAAAGUUGUUCGUUUUGGAAGAAGAAAAGCAAAGGUCUAUCAUUAAUUGUUUCCGCAAUAAGCAUUGAUAUGGUAAUUCAGAAAUGAUAUGGUAAUUGUUUCCGCAAUUAAAUUAGAAUUAUAAAAAUUAUAAUAUAUACAUAUAUAUAUAUAUUAUAAUUAAUAUUAUAAUUUUUUCAAAUAAAAAUAUUUCUAUAAUUUUAAAAAGUUUAAAACUAUAACUUUAUAAAUAUAAUUUUUACAUUUAUUACAAUAUUAUGGUUUUUGAUAUUUUUAUAAUUAUAUAAAAUGUAAUAUUCUUAAUUUAUUAUUUAACCGCUGCUGCAUUUGCUAGUUAACCUGCAUAAAUAUCCCGUGAACGCACCAAUUUUUAACCGCAGAACCAGACCUACAGAUCUCUUAAAACUGCUAGAAACCGCAACCAUCCGCAUCCGCAAACUUCCGCAACUGCAACCGUUGCGUUUGAACUAGUCACGCUUAUGACUGGUUUCUCCGCUACCACACGCAAACGCAGAUUUUGCGGUUGGUAGCGGCUUUUGCGGUUGGUAGCGGUUCUUGGCGUUUUGCAGCAAUCACUCAAACCGCUCUAAACCGUUUUAAACCUCUCUAUACCUCAUAAAUUAAAAAGCUGGUUCCAACUAGCGUUUGUGGUUGCGGGAAGAUAAUUUUUUUUCUUUUAAAUUAUAUAAAUACAAAAAUAAAAUAUUAAAUAAAAAUUUUAAAUUGGAAUUAUAAAAAUACUAAAAUAUAUCUAUUAUUUAAAUUAAUAUUAAAAAUUAUAAAAUAAAAAUAUUUUCUAUAAUUUUAUAAAAUUUAAAACUAUAACUUUCUAAAUAUAAUUUUUAUAUUUAAUAUAACAUUAUUAUUUUUGAUACAUUUAUAAUUAUAUAAAAUGUAAAUAUGGUUAAUUUAUUAUUUAACCGCUACUGCUUUUGGUAGUUAACCAGUCAUAAGUAUCCCGCAAAUACACAAAUUUCUAACCGCAUAACUAGUUGUAAAAUAUCUCUUAAAACAGCUAGAAACCGCAACCACCCGCAUCUGUAAACUUCCGCAACCGCAGCCGCUGCGUUUGAACCAGUUAGUCCUUUAGGGAAUGACCGGUUUCCCCGCUACUACCCGCAGCUUUUGCGGUUGGUAACGGUUAUUGGCGUUUUGCAACAAUCACUCAACCAUAAACCGCUUUAAACCUUAUAAAUUCAAAAGUUGGUUUUAGCUAGCGUUUGCGGUUGCGGAUGGUUGCAGGAGGAUAAACAUUUUUUCUUUUUUUUUUAAACAAUAGAAAUACAUAAAUAAAAAUAUUCAAUAAAAAAUUUAAUUGAAAUUAUAAAAAUACUAAAAUAUAUAUAUUAUAUUUUAAUUAAUAUCAUAAUUUUUUUUAAUAAAAAUAUUUUCUACAAUUUAAAAAAGUUAAAACUAUAACUUUCUAAAUAUAAUUUUUAUAUUUAUUAUAAAAUUAUUGUUAUUGAUAUUUUUAUAAUUAUAUAAAAUAUAAAUAUAGUUAAUUUAUUAUUUAAUCGCUGUUGCAUUUGGUAGUUAAUCAGUCAUAAAUAUCUUGUAAAACACCAAUUUAUAACCGCAAAACCAGUUGUACAAAUCUCUAAAAAGAGCUAGAAACCGCAACCAGCCGCAUCCGCAAACUUGUUCAAAAGCAACAUGUCAUGCCUUACAGAUCUAAAAUCCUCAAAAUUUUCUUAAAUCCCCAAUUCGAUAAGUUCUCCUAUAUGUUUUUUACAACUUGUUCAACCUGUUUUAGCGAAGCAAAUCUAUGUUCAUCAAUCUUGACACAUGGUUGGUUAUCUUGUGAGAAAUCACUGUAAUGGGGGUACGAAUGUGUCUCCUGGCAUUUCUUUCUCUCCAUAUUGCAUGGAUGCAGGCUUGUAGGGCAUUACCGUGUCAAGAAAGUUAUCCGUAGACCUCCAUUUGUGUCCAUCACCAACUCCGUUAAUUCAAGCCACUUGGUGGUGAAAUUAGACGGCAGCAUCACCCGCAUCAGUAGAGUCCAGACUUCAGCAGAGUAUGAGCAUUCAGAAAGAGUUGAUCUCGAGUUUCGAAAGGGUUGGCAGAGAACACAUGGUGAAUUAGUGUUGGUAUUCCAGCUGAGCAUUCUAUCUCCAGUCGGCAGCUUGUUUAGUUAAGUAAGCCAGUGAAAGAAAGCUAACUUAGGAAUACUGUGCUGAAACCAUACUCCUUUUGGCCAUUGUAGUGGAUGUGCUUGCUUUCUAGUCAAUUCCCACGUGAGUUUUGUCUUGAAAGCAGGCUUGAACUUGUCAUUACUCUGUUUCCAUAGUGAUUGAUCCUUCAAUGUUAUCAUCUUUGCCUUUUGAGUUGCCAUAGCUGCAGACACUAUUGCAGUUUUAGGAACACCCAUAUCAUCAAUGCAUCCACGAGAUCCAGCCAUACAGUCGGCCAAUAGUGCACUAAGAAUCAAACCAGAACAAGACAUUCUGACCAUCUCCAACUCUCAACAUGUGCAUAUCUUUUGCUUUGUCUCGAUGUUUUAGUAUCUUGCGCCACAUCGACGAGCCUAUUAUAGUGUUGUCGUGAAUUGACCAUGUUUGAUAUUUGUCAACAAUUGUUCCUCCUUUCAAAAUGUACACAAUAAAAAUCACAUUGAGUAAACCCUGAAACAA
Long non-coding RNA from Brassica rapa (field mustard), 2949 nucleotides. RefSeq lists it as uncharacterized. Lineage: Eukaryota; Viridiplantae; Streptophyta; Magnoliopsida; Brassicales; Brassicaceae. The record is from RefSeq and is a predicted model, not a curated record.